This 207-nucleotide ribosomal RNA is filed under the name uncultured bacterium. RNAcentral describes it as "partial 16S ribosomal RNA". It matches the Rfam family "Bacterial small subunit ribosomal RNA", at positions 568 to 774 of the family's 1533-position model. The record is from RNAcentral.
CGUGUAGGCGGCCAAUUAAGCUAGGUGUUAAAGACCACGGCUCAACCGGGGGAAUGCAUUUAGAACUGAAUGGCUAGAGGACGAGAGAGGAAAGUGGAAUUCCUAGUGUAGCGGUGGAAUGCGUAGAUAUUAGGAGGAACACCAGUGGCGAAGGCGACUUUCUGGACUGUAACUGACACUGAGGCUCGAAAGCCAGGGUAGUGAACG